ACACUGCUGAUGAGUCCCAUAAUAGGACGAAACGGCCGUCCAGUGC
Molecule: non-coding RNA, 46 nt
Organism: Schistosoma mansoni
Lineage: Eukaryota; Metazoa; Platyhelminthes; Trematoda; Strigeidida; Schistosomatidae
Source: Rfam